UGGCUCAGAUUGAACGCUGGCGGCAUGCCUUACACAUGCAAGUCGAACGGCAGCACGGGUGCUUGCACCUGGUGGCGAGUGGCGAACGGGUGAGUAAUAUAUCGGAACGUACCUUAUCGUGGGGGAUAACGCAGCGAAAGCUGCGCUAAUACCGCAUACGCCCUGAGGGGGAAAGCGGGGGACCGUAAGGCCUCGCGCGAUUAGAGCGGCCGAUAUCUGAUUAGCUUGUUGGUGGGGUAAAAGCCCACCAAGGCGACGAUCAGUAGCUGGUCUGAGAGGACGAUCAGCCACACUGGGACUGAGACACGGCCCAGACUCCUACGGGAGGCAGCAGUGGGGAAUUUUGGACAAUGGGGGCAACCCUGAUCCAGCAAUGCCGCGUGAGUGAAGAAGGCCUUCGGGUUGUAAAGCUCUUUUGUCAGGGAAGAAACAGCAGCUCUAACACAGUCUGCGAAUGACGGUACC
This 465-nucleotide ribosomal RNA is filed under the name Polynucleobacter sp. Fw70-19. Its description in RNAcentral is "bacterial SSU rRNA". It matches the Rfam family "Bacterial small subunit ribosomal RNA", at positions 20 to 479 of the family's 1533-position model. Lineage: Bacteria; Pseudomonadati; Pseudomonadota; Betaproteobacteria; Burkholderiales; Burkholderiaceae. The record is from RNAcentral.